UACGUAGGUGACAAGCGUUGUCCGGAUUUACUGGGCGUAAAGAGCGUGUAGGCGGCCAGGUAGGUCGGUUGUGAAAACUGGAGGCUCAACCUUCAGAGGUCGACCGAAACCAUCUGGCUAGAGUCCGGGAGAGGAGAGUGGAAUUCCUGGUGUAGCGGUGAAAUGCGCAGAUAUCAGGAAGAACACCCGUGGCGAAAGCGGCUCUCUGGAACGGUACUGACGCUGAGACGCGAAAGCGUGGGGAGCGAACAGG
This 253-nucleotide ribosomal RNA is filed under the name uncultured bacterium. RNAcentral describes it as "partial 16S ribosomal RNA". It matches the Rfam family "Bacterial small subunit ribosomal RNA", at positions 524 to 776 of the family's 1533-position model. The record is from RNAcentral.